Molecule: ribosomal RNA, 450 nt
Filed under: uncultured bacterium
Lineage: Bacteria
Description: partial 16S ribosomal RNA
Rfam family: Bacterial small subunit ribosomal RNA
Source: RNAcentral
CCUACGGGGGGCUGCAGUAAGGAAUAUUGGUCAAUGGAGGAAACUCUGAACCAGCCAUCCCGCGUGAAGGAUGAAGGGGCUCUGCCUUGUAAACUUCUUUUGUCUGGGGCGAAAAAGCUCGAUUUAUCGAGAACUGACGGUACCAGACGAAUAAGCACCGGCUAACUCCGUGCCAGCAGCCGCGGUAAUACGGAGGGUGCAAGCAUUAUCCGGAAUCACUGGUGUGAAGGGGGAUGAGUACGGCAGAGGAGAAAGGCUGUGGCUUAACCAGGGAAUUGCCAUUGAUACUGCAGAGCUUGAAUGAGGUAGAGGUUGGCGGAAUGUGACAUGUAGCGGUGAAAUGCUUAGAUAUGUCAUGGAACACCGAUUGCGAAGGCAGCUGACUGGACCUAUAUUGACGCUGAGGCACGAAAGCGUGGGGAGCGAACAGGAUUAGAUACCCUUGUAGUC